Molecule: ribosomal RNA, 483 nt
Filed under: uncultured bacterium
Lineage: Bacteria
Description: partial 16S ribosomal RNA
Rfam family: Bacterial small subunit ribosomal RNA
Source: RNAcentral
GACGAACGCUGGCGGCGUGCUUAACACAUGCAAGUCGAACGCUGAAGCUCAGCUUUUGUUGGGUGGAUGAGUGGCGAACGGGUGAGUAACACGUGAGUAACCUGCCCCCUUCUUUGGGAUAACGCCCGGAAACGGGUGCUAAUACUGGAUAUUCACUGGUCUUCGCAUGGGGGUUGGUGGAAAGGGUUUUUCUGGUGGGGGAUGGGCUCGCGGCCUAUCAGCUUGUUGGUGGGGUGAUGGCCUACCAAGGCUUUGACGGGUAGCCGGCCUGAGAGGGUGACCGGUCACAUUGGGACUGAGAUACGGCCCAGACUCCUACGGGGGGCAGCAGUGGGGAAUAUUGCACAAUGGGCGCAAGCCUGAUGCAGCGAUGCCGCGUGAGGGAUGGAGGCCUUCGGGUUGUGAACCUCUUUCGCUCAUGGUCAAGCCGCAACAAUGGUUGUGGUGAGGGUAGUGGGUAAAGAAGCGCCGGCUAACUACGUG